GGGGAAGUAUUGCAUCAAUGGCAGGCAAGCCAUGCAUGCAGCCAUGCCGCGUGUAUGAAGAAGGCCUUCGGGUUGUAAAGUACUUUCAGCGAGGAGGAAGGCAUUAAGGUUAAUAACCUUGGUGAUUGACGUUACUCGCAGAAGAAGCACCGGCUAACUCCGUGCCAGCAGCCGCGGUAAUACGGAGGGUGCAAGCGUUAAUCGGAAUUACUGGGCGUAAAGCGCACGCAGGCGGUUUGUUAAGUCAGAUGUGAAAUCCCCGGGCUCAACCUGGAACUGCAUUUGAACUGGCAAGCUUGAGUCUUGUAGAGGGGGUAGAAUUCCA
RNAcentral lists this ribosomal RNA (325 nucleotides) under uncultured Enterobacteriaceae bacterium. RNAcentral describes it as "bacterial SSU rRNA". It matches the Rfam family "Bacterial small subunit ribosomal RNA", at positions 355 to 671 of the family's 1533-position model. The record is from RNAcentral. Lineage: Bacteria; Pseudomonadati; Pseudomonadota; Gammaproteobacteria; Enterobacterales; Enterobacteriaceae.